GGUGUUUCCUUAACAAUGUGAAUCCGACGGUUGAUAUUUUAAGCCAAUCACCACAGCCGUUGGAUUGUGCAUACAUUCCAAUAUAAAUACACGACCCCAGGUCAUUUUUCAUCAUUAUUUACCGUUGCCGACAGAUCGUUUGUUUUCUUUCGGCCUCUCGCAACCUUUAUCAUAGAUCUCUUGUUUUCUUGUUGAUCUUUUCUUCUUGAUUUUUCUCAAACAAAUUUCGACCGUACCGUUUCUUGAUUUACGUUUCGGUAACUCGUUUCUUUUCCCGCUCAAAGUUUCGCGGCCAAUGUUGUCUAUGUCACAUGUUCAGUUUCUCGUUUUCGUUUCGGAUCGGAUAAGUUUGAGCGAUCCGAUCCGCAAAUCGGAAAUCGUUCUUCCUGAAUCCAGUUUCGUUUCCGAUUUCUGUUCACAUAACAUCAGCUCAAUCUCAAUUUCUUAUCCGAUCGGGAAAGACCGGAAAUCUUCCCUUAUGAAUUUUACCGGUCGUGGCUCUGGAUCUGUUCAUACCGAAACGUAACAAUCUCGUUUCCAUUUCGAAUCGGGAAAGAUCGGAAUAUUCUCCCUCAUCAAUCCGUCAAGACGAUAAACCGUCGCUAAUUGUCAACGGAGUAAUUGCUUAAUUUUGCUCGUACGAUUCUCUGCUUAACUUGCUUGGAUUGUGAUGAAGACGAUGGAUGAUCCACAUAAUCAUGAAACUGAUACUCUCUUUGUAAGUUGUUAUAAUAAUUUAAUCAUGAAGACAAUGGAUCUAGGCUGACCGAGGGAAGCUAGGAAAGAGUGAGAUCCAAGGUAUAUGAUCUGUUAAUAUUAUGAGUGUUUGUUCUCAGACCUUUGCCAUUGCAGGUGCGCUUGCAUGGCAGGUCAAAAAAUCCCUAAUAAAUUUAUUUUUUUGGGUUUUGGGGGGAAGAGGCACGGGGUUAAUAUUUUUUUUUCCCGCCCGGCUCUUCCCCCUUCUGCGCGCGCGCGCGCUCUCUCUCUCUCUCUCUCUCUCUCUCUCUCUCUCUCUCUCGUUUAUUCUGUCUGGUCUAUGCUUGCAUAUCUACAUUUGCACGCCAAUCAUAAUUUGCUGGCACGGAUAAGGCCAACAAGGAUACCAAUCUGGCUUCACGGAGAAGGUAAUUAACAGCUCUCAACGCACUUAUUGAUUCUUUAAUUUCAAAAACAAUGUGCAGAAAAUCUAGAGAAAACAAAAUCAUUCUUAGAACAUAGUUAGUUUAACAACGAUCAAGAGAAACAUUCUCGCCAGUUAGUUCACAUAUAGUUAGGUUAACAGCAAACAUUCCAAAACCGUGUAUCUCAUCUUCUGUAGGAAUUAGUUGCACACACCGACAUCAAGAAAGCAUUUGCUAUUUAUUUGUCAUAUUCAUGUUUCCUAAUGGCUACAGAUAGAAAUGAGGUAAACUAUUGAAGCUCUAUUGGAAGCUCCUUUUCAAUCUAUCAUAGCAAUCGGGAAAAUCUACAAAAUGGAAUUGUUCCCACACAUAUACGAUAGUUGUAACAAAAAACAUUCCAACAUUGUGUUUAUAUAAAUUGUGAAGAUGUAGCAUUUUUUGCAAGGCCUUCAAAUUACCAUUACCUAGUGUGGAUCUGCGUUUAAUUUACAUGCCCAGUGCGCAUUUAUUUGCCAUAUUCAUGUUUCCUGGUGGAUAACAAUAUAAAGAAACACUUCUACUGUGCACUUAAGUCCCAUUUGAGUUUUACAUAACAACCAGGAGAAUAUCUCACUGAAUUGAAUAAAAGUUUUUAUGGGAAUUCUCAAUCUCUUCGAGCCGAGUUAUUUUUUGCUAUUAAUUUGAUUUUCUCCCGACUUGUAUGCUAUAUUUGGUAGUUUGAUUAUUUUGUCAAUAUGUGGAUGUGAGAUGUUAUCACAGUAUUCAAGGCAAAAUGUAUCAUUAUUUUGGUUUGUUUGUGUAAUGGCAUUGGGAGAGUGAUAGACAUGA
Prunus avium (sweet cherry) is the source of this 1949-nucleotide non-coding RNA. NCBI's taxonomy places the organism in Eukaryota, Viridiplantae, Streptophyta, Magnoliopsida, Rosales, Rosaceae. The record is from RefSeq and is a predicted model, not a curated record.